UACGUAGGGUGCGAGCGUUGUCCGGAAUUACUGGGCGUAAAGAGCUUGUAGGUGGUUUGUCGCGUUGUUCGUGAAAUCUCACGGCUCAACUGUGAGCGUGCGGGCGAUACGGGCAGGCUAGAGUACUGCAGGGGAGACUGGAAUUCCUGGUGUAGCGGUGGAAUGCGCAGAUAUCAGGAGGAACACCGGUGGCGAAGGCGGGUCUCUGGGCAGUAACUGACGCUGAGAAGCGAAAGCGUGGGGAGCGAACAGG
Molecule: ribosomal RNA, 253 nt
Filed under: uncultured bacterium
Lineage: Bacteria
Description: partial 16S ribosomal RNA
Rfam family: Bacterial small subunit ribosomal RNA
Source: RNAcentral